This 408-nucleotide ribosomal RNA is filed under the name uncultured bacterium. RNAcentral's name for it is "partial 16S ribosomal RNA". It matches the Rfam family "Bacterial small subunit ribosomal RNA", at positions 28 to 526 of the family's 1533-position model. The record is from RNAcentral.
GACGAACGCUGGCGGCGUGCUUAACACAUGCAAGUCGAACGGAGUGGCGAACGGGCGAGUCACACGAGGGUGACCUGCCCUGCACUUCGGGAUAAGCCAGGGAAACUGGGUCUAAUACCGGAGAGUGUGGGAUGGGCCCGGGGCCUAUCAGCUUGUUGGUGGGGUAAUGGCCUCCCAAGGCGGCGACGGGUAGCCGGCCUGAGAGGGUGGACGGCCACAUUGGGACUGAGACACGGCCCAGACUCCUACGGGAGGCAGCAGUGGGGAAUAUUGCACAAUGGGCGGAAGCCUGAUGCAGCGACGCCGCGUGGGGGAUGAAGGCCUUCGGGUUGUAAACUCCUUUCACCAUCGACGCGGUAGAUGGAGAAGAAGCACCGGCUAACUUCGUGCCAGCAGCCGCGGUAAUUC